GAUGACAUUGAGGUUCAUCUUGAUCACAAGCACAUGGGUGUGGGAGGAGAUGAUAGCUGGUCUCCCUGUGUACAUGAAGAAUAUUUACUUUCUCCGGUGCCAUACUCGUUCUCGAUCAGGUUCUAUCCAGUAACUCCAUCCACUUCUGGCUAUGAUGCUUACAGAUCCCAACUUCAAUUGUAGUGAAAUUGGCAUCAGCAUUCAACCAAGUAAAGAACUUGCAAUAAUCUAUUGGUUUGCUUAAUGACAAAAGGGACUUGCCAUCUCAUAGCCAUAGGUAACCUGCAUCGUAUAG
RNAcentral lists this unclassified non-coding RNA (295 nucleotides) under Hevea brasiliensis (rubber tree). Lineage: Eukaryota; Viridiplantae; Streptophyta; Magnoliopsida; Malpighiales; Euphorbiaceae. The record is from RNAcentral.